This 198-nucleotide ribosomal RNA is filed under the name uncultured bacterium. RNAcentral's name for it is "partial 16S ribosomal RNA". It matches the Rfam family "Bacterial small subunit ribosomal RNA", at positions 326 to 539 of the family's 1533-position model. The record is from RNAcentral.
ACGCUCGACACCUACGGGGCAGCAGUUAGGAAUAUUGGGCAAUGGAGGAAACUCUGACCCAGCAACGCCGCGUGAAGGAAGAAGGUUUCGGAUUGUAAACUUCUGAUCUAGGGGAAGAAGGAAGUGACGGUACCCUAGGAGAAAGCCACGGCUAACUACGUGCCAGCAGCCGUGGUAAUCUGAGCGGGCUGGCAAGGC